RNAcentral lists this ribosomal RNA (331 nucleotides) under Uroleucon sonchi. Its description in RNAcentral is "partial 12S ribosomal RNA". Lineage: Eukaryota; Metazoa; Arthropoda; Insecta; Hemiptera; Aphididae. The record is from RNAcentral.
UAGAUACCCUAUUAUAAAAAUUUAAAUUAAUUUACUAAAAAAUUAAUAGUUAUGUUCUUUAAAUUUAAAAAAUUUGGCGGUAUUUUAGUCUUAUUAGAGGAACCUGUUUAUUAAUUGAUAAUCCACGAUUAAUUUUACUUAUUUUUGUAAUUCAUAUAUCGCUGUCAUGAAUAUAUUUAAAAAUUUAUUUUCUUUAUUUAUUUUUAUAAUUUAUGUUAAGUCAAGAUGUGGUUUAUAAAUAAGUAUAUAAUGGGUUACAUUAAAUUUUAUUUAUGGAUUAAAAAUGAAAAUUAAAAUGAAAUUGGAUUUAAUAGUAAAUUUAUUUAUUUAA